This is a long non-coding RNA of Seriola aureovittata, 549 nucleotides long. RefSeq lists it as uncharacterized. The record is from RefSeq and is a predicted model, not a curated record. The transcript is spliced from 3 exons. NCBI's taxonomy places the organism in Eukaryota, Metazoa, Chordata, Actinopteri, Carangiformes, Carangidae.
GUUCAGCAGCUUUAGCAAGGACUUUAUACAUCCUACAGGAUUAAACUAUAUCAUCUGAAGGAGCCAUGUGUCUCUUGUUUACUGCUGAACCUUCAUAAAACUGUUAAAAACGGAAGGAUGUUGAUGUUUGACUUUAGAAACUGAGUCACAUUUAAAGCUCUUCACGAUCCCAGCUACAUUAUUGAACUGCUGCUCCCUAUGAGCCAGAGAGCAGCCCUGCAGAUCUGGACUACCCUGGCCAAGGACCUGAAGCUGUGGAAUCAGUGACAACUACUAUCCUUUUAAAGACAGACACCAUUUUGUUGCCUUCAUGUUUUCUCUUUCUUAUUAAUAUUGUUAAUUUUGUUAUUGUCUUUAUUGUUGGAAUUUUUAUUGAAGUGUCUGAUUUUAUUUGCAUCAGUCCUGACAUGUUUUAAUCCUGGUUCAACCUGUAAAGUACUUUGUAACUUUUGAAAAGUGCAGUAUAAAUGAAGUUUAUUGUUAUGAAUAUCAUUUAUUGCUAUGUUUUGUAGCUGAUGCUAUUUUCCCUGUUUCACCAGUGUUUCAGGU